UACGUAGGGGGCAAGCGUUAUCCAGAUUUACUGGGCGUAAAGCGCGUGUAGGCGGCUGGUUAGGUGUGAUGUGAAAUCUUCGGGCUCAACCCGAAAGCUGCAUUGCAAACCGGCCUGGCUAGAGUGCAGGAGAGGGAAGCGGAAUUCCAGGUGUAGCGGUGAAAUGCGCAGAUAUCAGGAGGAACACCGGUGGCGAAGGCGGGUCUCUGGGCCGAUACUGACACUGAGGAGCGAAAGCCAGGGGAGCAAACGGG
RNAcentral lists this ribosomal RNA (254 nucleotides) under uncultured bacterium. Its description in RNAcentral is "partial 16S ribosomal RNA". It matches the Rfam family "Bacterial small subunit ribosomal RNA", at positions 524 to 776 of the family's 1533-position model. The record is from RNAcentral.